RNAcentral lists this ribosomal RNA (484 nucleotides) under uncultured bacterium. Its description in RNAcentral is "partial 16S ribosomal RNA". It matches the Rfam family "Bacterial small subunit ribosomal RNA", at positions 30 to 507 of the family's 1533-position model. The record is from RNAcentral.
AUUGAACGCUGGCGGCAUGCCUAACACAUGCAAGUCGAGCGGAUGAAGGGAGCUUGCUCCUGGAUUCAGCGGCGGACGGGUGAGUAAUGCCUAGGAAUCUGCCUGCUAGUGGGGGAUAACGUCCUGAAACGGGCGCUAAUACCGCAUACGUCCUGAGGUAGAAAGUGGGGGAUCUUCGGACCUCAUGCUAUCAGAUGAUCCUAGUUCGGAUUAGCUAGUUUGUGGGGUAAAGGCCUACCAAGGCGACGAUCCGUAACUGGUCUGAGAGGAUGAUCAGUCACACUGGAAAUGAGACACGGUCCAGAGUACUAAGGGAGGCACCAGUGGGGAAUAUUGGACAAUGGGCGAAAGAAUGAUACAGCCAGGCCGAGUGUGUGAAGAAGGUAUUCGGAUUGUAAAGCAAUUUAAGUUGGGAGGAAGGGCAGUAAGUUAAUACAUUGAUGUAUUGACGGUACCAACAGAAUAAGCACCGGCUAAAUACGUG